RNAcentral lists this transfer RNA (75 nucleotides) under Sulfuricella sp. T08. RNAcentral's name for it is "tRNA-Val". It matches the Rfam family "tRNA". Rfam says of the family: Transfer RNA (tRNA) molecules are approximately 80 nucleotides in length. Their secondary structure includes four short double-helical elements and three loops (D, anti-codon, and T loops). The record is from RNAcentral. Lineage: Bacteria; Pseudomonadati; Pseudomonadota; Betaproteobacteria; Nitrosomonadales; Sulfuricellaceae. RNAcentral also lists the same sequence under 2 other names.
GGGCGGUUAGCUCAGUGGUAGAGCACUGCCUUCACACGGCAGGGGUCGCAGGUUCGAACCCCGCACCGCCCACCA